UGACACAGCCCUGGCCAACAUCUUGACUGCAGCCCCAUGAGAGACCCUGAGCCAGAACCAAGCCAACCAGAGUGACUUGUUUAUAACCAGAAGAUGGUUUAUUCAACAGCCCAGCUGAAGUGUCAGGUGCCAGCCAGUAUCAACUACUAGACACGAGACCACACUUGACAACUAACAACUGACGGGAUGUACACAUUCAGUCCAGAUGACAAGCUCCAUGAGGGUAGGGCCCGUGGCCCUUUGCCUUACUCAGCCCAAAGCACCAUGACUGGAACAAAUACCUGUGAAUGAAUGAACGAACAAAUGAAUGAACUGAAUUUUCAAAUACAGGUUUCUGCAAUGCUUUCUGUUCUGUAUGCACGGGAUGCAGCCAGCAAUGCCAGCAUUUUUGUUCCUCUGAAUUCUUGUCGUUGGACACUGCCAGGAUUUAGGGUGGGGUCAGCCCGGGGCCAUUUUAGCCCCAAUAAAGAUCUGUUUUAUUCAAG
This is a long non-coding RNA of Zalophus californianus (California sea lion), 485 nucleotides long. RefSeq lists it as uncharacterized. The transcript is spliced from 5 exons. The record is from RefSeq and is a predicted model, not a curated record. NCBI's taxonomy places the organism in Eukaryota, Metazoa, Chordata, Mammalia, Carnivora, Otariidae.